RNAcentral lists this RNase P RNA (355 nucleotides) under Thalassiosira antarctica. RNAcentral's name for it is "Bacterial RNase P class A". It matches the Rfam family "Bacterial RNase P class A". Rfam says of the family: Ribonuclease P (RNase P) is a ubiquitous endoribonuclease, found in archaea, bacteria and eukarya as well as chloroplasts and mitochondria. Lineage: Eukaryota; Bacillariophyta; Thalassiosirophyceae; Thalassiosirales; Thalassiosiraceae. The record is from RNAcentral.
AAAGUCGGGUAAUCGCCUUAUGCAAUAUGUAUGGGGAGGAAAGUCCGGACACCAACAAGUGCCGCGCUCUGCGAUCCUUCGGGCGUAGCAGAGGCUCUUUAUCAGGAAUGGUAUCGAGAUAGACAGUGCAACAGAAAACAGACUACCUCAUUUCGAUGAGGAAAAGGUGAAAAGGUGAGGUAAGAGCUCACCGCUCCAAGGGCGACUGAGGAGGCACGGUAAACCUCGCGGGGUGCAAGCUCAUGUAAGAUGGUAUACGCCGCUUGUCGUGACGCUAUCGGGUGGAGUGCACUAGAUAAAUGAUUACCGAAUCUGCCUUUGGCGGAGGAACAAAAUCCGGCUUAUAGACUUUCCU